Parasteatoda tepidariorum (common house spider) is the source of this 642-nucleotide non-coding RNA. NCBI's taxonomy places the organism in Eukaryota, Metazoa, Arthropoda, Arachnida, Araneae, Theridiidae. The record is from RefSeq and is a predicted model, not a curated record.
CUUUUGCUAAAAAAAAAACUUUUGACCUACCCGAUAGUCAAAACAAAGUUCACUCGACAUUAAAAAAAUUAUCUCCAUAGAAGAUAAAAUUACAGAGAUAAAAUGUGACUCAAUGAGUAUAUAAAUAACUCACUCAAUAAAUGUGAAAAAAAUAAGGUAAUUCAUUAACUCAAAUGGUUCCUUAUAAAAAGGAAUGAAAAAAAAUUGAUUUUGUUUGCUGAAUUAUGCUUAUUAAAAAAAUUGAGAAUUGCAAACAAAUGAAAACAAAUCAGGCUCACAUUGUAGACUGAUGGUAUUCCGAGUUUAAACGAAUGAAAAAAAAUUUGUACCACAAAGUUUUGUACAAUUCAAUUAUUGAAAAAAAUUAAAACCAAUCCAAUACGACUGAUAAUUUAGUAUUCCGAGUUAAAACGACAAAAAAAUUAGUAUACAACCUAUGAAUUAUGCAUGGGUUCAGAAAUCAAAGUCAUUAGUGAGAUCAAUUAAGUGCACAAAAAUUAACAAGUUAAAACUUAGAGAGAUUAAAAAAAAAAAGACUUAAAUUAAUAGAAACGCCUAGGCAAAAACAUNGAGAGAUUUAAAAUAAAAAAAAGACUUAAAUUAAUAGAACCGCCUAGGCAAAAACAUUGAACUUAACACCUG